Molecule: ribosomal RNA, 454 nt
Filed under: uncultured bacterium
Lineage: Bacteria
Description: partial 16S ribosomal RNA
Rfam family: Bacterial small subunit ribosomal RNA
Source: RNAcentral
GAUGAACGCUGACAGAAUGCUUAACACAUGCAAGUCAACUUGAACUUCGGUUUGGGUGGCGGACGGGUGAGUAACGCGUAAAGAACUUGCCUCACAGCUAGGGACAACAUUUGGAAACGAAUGCUAAUACCUGAUAUUAUGUUUAUAUGGCAUCGUAUAAUUAUGAAAGCUAUAUGCGCUGUGAGAGAGCUUUGCGUCCCAUUAGCUAGUUGGAGAGGUAACAGCUCACCAAGGCGAUGAUGGGUAGCCGGCCUGAGAGGGUGAUCGGCCACAAGGGGACUGAGACACGGCCCUUACUCCUACGGGAGGCAGCAGUGGGGAAUAUUGGACAAUGGACCGAGAGUCUGAUCCAGCAAUUCUGUGUGCACGAUGAAGUUUUUCGGAAUGUAAAGUGCUUUCAGUUGGGAAGAAAAAAAUGACGGUACCAACAGAAGAAGUGACGGCUAAAUACGUG